CGGAGGGUGCAAGCGUUAUCCGGAUUCACUGGGUUUAAAGGGUGCGUAGGCGGAUUUUUAAGUCCGUGGUGAAAUCUCCGAGCUUAACUCGGAAACUGCCAUGGAUACUAUGAGUCUUGAAUGUUGUGGAGGUUUGCGGAAUAUGUCAUGUAGCGGUGAAAUGCUUAGAUAUGACAUAGAACACCGAUUGCGAAGGCAGCAGGCUACACAAAUAUUGACGCUGAGGCACGAAAGCGUGGGGAUCAAACAGGAUUAGAUACCCUGGUAGUCCACGCCCUAGACGAUGAUUACUCGACAUUUGCGAUACACAGCAAGUGUCUGAGCGAAAGCAUUAAGUAAUCCACCUGGGAAGUACGACCGCAAGGUUG
This 368-nucleotide ribosomal RNA is filed under the name uncultured organism. Its description in RNAcentral is "bacterial SSU rRNA". It matches the Rfam family "Bacterial small subunit ribosomal RNA", at positions 526 to 896 of the family's 1533-position model. The record is from RNAcentral.